GACGAACGCUGGCGGCGUGCUUAACACAUGCAAGUCGAGCGGAAAGGCCCUGUCUGGGGUACUCGCGCGGGGAACGGGUGGGUAAGACGCAAGUAAUCUGCCCUUCCCUUACGGUGGAAUAACGGCAGCGAAGGCUAAUACCUAAUAGGAACAUUCCUCGCAUGAGUGGUGGGGGGUAAGUAUUUCGGUGGGGGAUGUGCUCGCGGCCUAUCAGCUUGUUGGUGGGGUAAUGGCUUACCAAGGCUUCGACGGGUAGCCGGCCUGAGAGGGUGACCGGCCACACUGGGACUGAGACACGGCCCAGACUCCUACGGGAGGCAGCAGUGGGGAAUAUUGGACAAUGGGCGGAAGCCUGAUGCAGCAACGCCGCGUGAGGGAUGACGGCCUUCGGGUUGUAAACCUCUUUCACCUGUGACGAAGCGAAAGUGACGGUAGCAGGAGAAGAAGCACCGGCUAACUACGUG
Molecule: ribosomal RNA, 464 nt
Filed under: uncultured bacterium
Lineage: Bacteria
Description: partial 16S ribosomal RNA
Rfam family: Bacterial small subunit ribosomal RNA
Source: RNAcentral